This 618-nucleotide ribosomal RNA is filed under the name uncultured beta proteobacterium. RNAcentral's name for it is "bacterial SSU rRNA". It matches the Rfam family "Bacterial small subunit ribosomal RNA", at positions 62 to 675 of the family's 1533-position model. Lineage: Bacteria; Pseudomonadati; Pseudomonadota; Betaproteobacteria. The record is from RNAcentral.
UCGAACGGCAGCACGGGGGCAACCCUGGUGGCGAGUGGCGAACGGGUGAGUAAUAUAUCGGAACGUGCCCUGGAGUGGGGGAUAACUAGUCGAAAGACUAGCUAAUACCGCAUACGAUCUACGGAUGAAAGUGGGGGAUCGCAAGACCUCAUGCUCGUGGAGCGGCCGAUAUCUGAUUAGCUAGUUGGUAGGGUAAAAGCCUACCAAGGCAUCGAUCAGUAGCUGGUCUGAGAGGACGACCAGCCACACUGGGACUGAGACACGGCCCAGACUCCUACGGGAGGCAGCAGUGGGGAAUUUUGGACAAUGGGGGCAACCCUGAUCCAGCAAUGCCGCGUGAGUGAAGAAGGCCUUCGGGUUGUAAAGCUCUUUUGUCAGGGAAGAAACGGUCCGGGCUAAUAUCCUGGGCUAAUGACGGUACCUGAAGAAUAAGCACCGGCUAACUACGUGCCAGCAGCCGCGGUAAUACGUAGGGUGCAAGCGUUAAUCGGAAUUACUGGGCGUAAAGCGUGCGCAGGCGGUUGUGCAAGACAGAUGUGAAAUCCCCGGGCUUAACCUGGGAAUUGCAUUUGUGACUGCACGGCUAGAGUGUGUCAGAGGGGGGUAGAAUUCCACGUG